GGAAUAUUGGACAAUGGGGGCAACCCUGAUGCAGCCAUGCCGCGUGUGUGAAGAAGGCCUUCGGGUUGUAAAGCACUUUAAGCGAGGAGGAAGGCGUAACGGUUAAUACCCGUUAUGAUUGACGUUACUCGCAGAAUAAGCACCGGCUAACUCCGUGCCAGCAGCCGCGGUAAUACGGAGGGUGCAAGCGUUAAUCGGAAUUACUGGGCGUAAAGCGCGCGUAGGCGGCUAUUUAAGCUAGAUGUGAAAUCCCCGGGCUUAACCUGGGACGUGCAUUUAGAACUGGGUAGCUAGAGUACAGCAGAGGAUAGUGGAAUUUCAGGUGUAGCGGUGAAAUGCGUAGAGAUCUGAAGGAACAUCAGUGGCGAAGGCGACUGUCUGGGCUGAUACCGACGCUGAGGUGCGAAAGCGUGGGGAGC
Molecule: ribosomal RNA, 419 nt
Filed under: uncultured bacterium
Lineage: Bacteria
Description: bacterial SSU rRNA
Rfam family: Bacterial small subunit ribosomal RNA
Source: RNAcentral